GACGAACGCUGGCGGCGUGCCUAAUACAUGCAAGUCGAGCGAAGUUUUUCUGGUGCUUGCACUAGAAAAACUUAGCGGCGAACGGGUGAGUAACACGUAAAGAACCUGCCUCAUAGACUGGGACAACUAUUGGAAACGAUAGCUAAUACCGGAUAACAGUAUUUCUCGCAUGAGAGAUAUUUAAAAGUUGGUUAUGCUAACACUAUGAGAUGGCUUUGCGGUGCAUUAGCUAGUUGGUGGGGUAAAGGCCUACCAAGGCGACGAUGCAUAGCCGACCUGAGAGGGUGAUCGGCCACACUGGGACUGAGACACGGCCCAGACUCCUACGGGAGGCAGCAGUAGGGAAUCUUCCGCAAUGGGCGAAAGCCUGACGGAGCAACGCCGCGUGAGUGAAGAAGGAUUUCGGUUCGUAAAGCUCUGUUGUUAGGGAAGAAUGGAUAUGUAGUAACUAUACAUGUAAGAGACGGUACCUAACCAGAAAGCCACGGCUAACUACGUGCCAGCAGCCGCGGUAAUACGUAGGUGGCAAGCGUUGUCCGGAAUUAUUGGGCGUAAAGCGCGCGCAGGUGGUUUAAUAAGUCUGAUGUGAAAGCCCACGGCUCAACCGUGGAGGGUCAUUGGAAACUGUUAAACUUGAGUGCAGGAGAGAAAAGUGGAAUUCCUAGUGUAGCGGUGAAAUGCGUAGAGAUUAGGAGGAACACCAGCGGCGAAGGCGGCUUUUUGGCCUGUAACUGACACUGAGGCGCGAAAGCGUGGGGAGCAAACAGG
RNAcentral lists this ribosomal RNA (768 nucleotides) under uncultured bacterium. RNAcentral describes it as "bacterial SSU rRNA". It matches the Rfam family "Bacterial small subunit ribosomal RNA", at positions 28 to 776 of the family's 1533-position model. The record is from RNAcentral.